CACAAUAACCACAACACUUACCAGGAUUUUACCACAGUAACUGUGUUUUUACUCUACACUAUUUGUAAAGCACAGUAACCACUAAGUUUGCCAUGCCUUUAAUAUCUUUUUGUGAUGUAAUUGUAAUUCAGUGUUUUUUCUGUCUUGCAGUUACGUCGGAUUACAUACUCCACAAUAACCUGUAAUCCAGCAGAUCUUUAAAGAAGCCAUCUCUUGUAAAAUCUCUCUCUCUCUCUCUCUCUCUCUCGCUCUGCUAGAAUUAACAGGGAACUUCAACUCCACGCUCCCAAUGCUGAUAUUGAAGAAGCUGUCAAGGGGGCUGAACAAGUCCUUCAAAGGAUCAACCCUUCACAGGAAGGCCUGUCAUGAGAUUUGAAUUUGACCAUCUUGUGCAUUUAUGAAGAAGACCAAAAGCUGCAAAGGCAAACACUUCCAAUGGCAGAAACUGAGAGUUUGCAUGAUGGUAUUUUCUCAGACGCUGAAUCUGAUGUGUACAGAUGAACUCAGGAGCCUACUAGAGUUGCCAAGGAACUUGUGCUUGAACUGAAGACCAGAAACGCAAAGAAAAUCAGUCAAACCAGUCCUAAAGAAAUGAGGAAUGAACAUGGACUUCUUGUGCCCCAAAAGAAAAGACAGAAAGCUCCUAAAAUGAGCAAAUAAGCUGUGCAUCAUCUCUGUGAUUUGGGAAGGAAAUGACUGAAUAUGAUGAAGCCAGUUGAUGAAGAUAUCAAUUGAAUGGCCACCGAGUGCAUCACUGCUACCUGAACCCAUCAGUUAUCUGCUGUGAAGACUGCAUUCACAAACCGCUCUACUGCGACAGCUCAGAUGUUACGGCCUGUAAAAGUAAACAUCACAGCUAAACAACGAGAGCUAGUUGUGGUGGGAUUCUUUUGGCCAAUAUCCCCAACAAGAAUCAAUGACAUCUAGACCAGGUGGAGUGUGAGGAGGACCGUCAGAGACUCCAGCCAGCCGAGCCAUGGAUUGCUCUCACUGUUACCAUCAGGCAGACGUUAUCACAGAACCUACACCAGCAGACAGUGAGACAAGUUCCUUUCACAGGCAAUCAGACUGAACUGAACUCAUACCAGUAAAACCAUACACACCCCACCAACCUCAUAUGCCCUGCACUCUUAUCAGUUAUGCUGACUGGACUCAAUAUUAUUAUGCACCCUGACAUUCUGUUUGCACUAAUUCAUACCGUGCUUUACUGCAGAGAUGUAUGUGUACUGUGAUUAUUAUUGUUUUCAAUUCAUGCUCUUUGUAUAGCAUAAUUUUUAACAUAUAUUGUUCUCUACCUGAAUUGAGUCCCUUAUAUAUGUGUGUUGCAUAUAUAUAUAUUCAGAAUUUGUAUUUCAUAUAUAUUCAUGAAUUAAUUCAUUUGUCAUCCAUACUGUCACGCUGCAGUCUGCACCCAAGACUUUCAUCACCUGUAUACUUGUGUUCAUUGUAUUGUGACAAUAAAGAUAUUUGAUUUAAA
This is a long non-coding RNA of Carassius gibelio (silver crucian carp), 1477 nucleotides long. RefSeq lists it as uncharacterized. The record is from RefSeq and is a predicted model, not a curated record. The transcript is spliced from 7 exons. NCBI's taxonomy places the organism in Eukaryota, Metazoa, Chordata, Actinopteri, Cypriniformes, Cyprinidae.